CCCUUAGAUGUUCUGGGCCGCACGCGCGCUACACUGAUGCAUUCAACGAGUUUCUUCCUGGUCCGAGAGGAAUGGGUAACCUUUUGAAAGUGCAUCGUGAUAGGGAUAGACUAUUGCAAUUAUUGGUCUUCAACGAGGAAUUCCUAGUAGACGUAGUUCAUCAGACUGCAUCGAUUACGUCCCUGCCCUUUGUACACACCGCCCGUCGCACCUACCGAUUGAGUGGUCCGGUGAAGACCUCGGACUGUGGCUGCGGUUGCUUGAUUGCGACUGUGUGCUGUGGGAAGUUGUCUAAAUCUUAUCACUUAGAGGAAGGUGAAGUCGUAACA
This 329-nucleotide ribosomal RNA is filed under the name uncultured eukaryote. Its description in RNAcentral is "partial 18S ribosomal RNA". It matches the Rfam family "Eukaryotic small subunit ribosomal RNA", at positions 1470 to 1796 of the family's 1831-position model. The record is from RNAcentral.